CCCGGCUCCGCCCCGCCCCCGGGCGGGCUUGCGCCGCUCCCCGGGAAUUGCGCAGGGCCCGCGGGGCUGACGGGCGUGGGGGGCGGGGAGCUCCGGCGGCGCCCAGGGCCCGAGAGGGGCCGAAUCACAGACCCUUAAUCCCCAAUCCGGAUCUCGGGCGCCCCCACCCCCCAACUUCGCUUGGAGUCCCCGCAGGCGCCGCCCCCGCACUGAGGUUGCCUGGACAGGGAAGGCGGGGGAGCGGGAGCACCGCGUCCAUUUCAUUCAUGAUUUUCUCCUCUUGGGAGCCCCGGGCCUGGGCUGCGCCGCUACGGCAGCCGCCAGAGGGACCCCGGCGGGGCAGUGCGCGCUCAACCCGGUGCAGGACGGACAGGCAGGCAUAUAGAGAAUACAACAUCCUCAUGGGCAGGCGUCCUUGUCUGGUUCAAUCACUGAUGGAUCCUGAGGGUCGCGGAAAAUGCCUGGUAUAUAGCAGGAGGCGGUGUUCCCAGAGGUUCCUGCUCCUCCACCCUCAUUUCCUGGAGUGCUUCUCUUUCUUCUGUGUCACCUGCGUUCUGUGCUCAGACACUUAGAGCUUAUUUUCUGCCUCAGGACCUUUGCACUGCCUGGGAUACUGGCCCCUUAUCUCCACAUGGUUGGUAACUUCUUGACACAUCCCCUCUCCUAGCCAGUCUUCCCUGAAUGUACAACUUGUACUCCUAUCCUGACCACCCUCCA
Molecule: long non-coding RNA, 717 nt
Organism: Camelus dromedarius (Arabian camel)
Lineage: Eukaryota; Metazoa; Chordata; Mammalia; Artiodactyla; Camelidae
Exons: 3
Source: RefSeq, a predicted model, not a curated record